Daphnia magna is the source of this 1311-nucleotide long non-coding RNA. RefSeq lists it as uncharacterized. The record is from RefSeq and is a predicted model, not a curated record. NCBI's taxonomy places the organism in Eukaryota, Metazoa, Arthropoda, Branchiopoda, Diplostraca, Daphniidae. The transcript is spliced from 2 exons.
CCCUCUUUUUCUCUUGAACAUAAUUCUAAAAAAGGGAAUAGAUUUAGAGCAAGGUUUUUCCCUGGUAUUCCCCCUUUUCUCCAACGACCUAGUUUCUUACUAAGUAAAAGGGGAAACCGAAAUAGUGUUGAUAUGCUUGUGUAGUUAAGCUUCCUCAACACGAAAGGCAGUCUAGACCCAAUCUUUAUUAGAUGUUUGACUAUAGGUGUGGAUGAAAGUGGGCAGCCAGACGCACAAUGCCGUCAAAGAACUUUUUUAUCAGGAAGUCGAGGUGUGCACAUCUCUAAAAAGUUUCCAAAGAAACUGGGAAGACAGGAAAGCUAUGCAUUGAGCGUGCUGAGUGUGUCGGAAUUUUAAUAAAAUUUCAAGAUACCUUAAAUUAUCUGAGACAAGCAUCUGUAGUGUAGUGGUUAUCACGGUUGUCUUACACACAACAGGUCCUCAGUUCAAUCCUGGGCAGAUGCAAUAAAUUAUACAUUUUGCUCUAUCUCGAUCAACAUCAAGCUACAGAUCUCGAAAUACUGUGCUUUUGUUCUUACAGCUCUUCUUGGUCUGUAUUCGGUUGUUUUUACCGACACUGUAACUUAUUGCUCCAUCCCGGGCUUGUUGAUAAUUUCCACAUCAUCUUUGCCAUAUCGUUAAAGGUGAAAGCCGAGUUAGACGUUCGUCCGCACAGCAAAUAUAUGAGGGGGAACGAGGACUUUCACUGCUACUCUAUGCAACAAAGCCACAUAAUAAUAUAUGCAAAUAUAAAUCACUAGAGCUACCCGGAAUUUCUCAUUUUGUCAUUGUCUGCCAACAGUGGUCGACGAUAUGCAGGAGAAAGCAAAAAAGGUGGAGUCUUCCAACACGAUCGAGCUCACGCAGCCUAGAAAACCAUUCAAAUCAGCAGUGCCUUGUUGCAAUUCCAACGUAUCGCUCGGCCGUGUCACACCAGAUCCCCCUAAGAUGAAGGUGUUUAUCUUCGCAGCUAUGCUGAUGAUUGCGGUUUCAGGGCAAGACAUUCCCGGUGAAAAUCACGUUCCUCAUCCUGAUCAUCAAGCUCCAGCUGUUUAUUUUAAGCCCAUGUAUCGUGAUUAUAGGUAUAAUGAUGCUUACCAUCCUGAACACAUAACUCCCACUAUGCCGAGAAUAUUGGUCUUCAUCUCGAAGAUAAGAAAAAUGUUUCUCGUCUGACACAAGUUACUGAAUCUAGUUUUCGGUUGUCAUUUUCGUGAUUCUGCCUCAGUGGGUCUCCUCUAAAAAUACGUGUCAUAUGAAUAUAACAAGUGGUGAAAUCAAAAUACAAAACUUCCAUGAUUACAAAUGAAA